UACGUAGGGACCAAGCGUUGUUCGGAUUUACUGGGCGUAAAGGGCGCGUAGGCGGUCGUGACAAGUCACUUGUGAAAUCUCCGGGCUUAACUCGGAACGGUCAAGUGAUACUGUCGGACUAGAGUACAGAAGGGGCAACUGGAAUUCUCGGUGUAGCGGUGAAAUGCGUAGAUAUCGAGAGGAACACCUGCGGCGAAGGCGGGUUGCUGGGCUGAUACUGACGCUGAUGCGCGAAAGCCAGGGGAGCGAACGGG
This 254-nucleotide ribosomal RNA is filed under the name uncultured bacterium. RNAcentral describes it as "partial 16S ribosomal RNA". It matches the Rfam family "Bacterial small subunit ribosomal RNA", at positions 524 to 776 of the family's 1533-position model. The record is from RNAcentral.